RNAcentral lists this ribosomal RNA (397 nucleotides) under uncultured bacterium. RNAcentral's name for it is "bacterial SSU rRNA". It matches the Rfam family "Bacterial small subunit ribosomal RNA", at positions 29 to 426 of the family's 1533-position model. The record is from RNAcentral.
AUUGAACGCUGGCGGCAUGCCUAACACAUGCAAGUCGAACGGUAACAGGGGCUUCGGCCCGCUGACGAGUGGCGGACGGGUGAGUAACGCGUAGGAAUCUUCCCAGUAGCGGGGGAUAGCUCGGCGAAAGCCGGAUUAAUACCGCAUACGCCCUACGGGGAAGGGCGAGGGGAGUCGCAAGACCUUGCACUAUUGGAUGAGCCUACGUCUGAUCAGCUAGUUGGUAGGGUAAAGGCCACCAAGGCGACGAUCAGUAGCUGGUCUGAGAGGACGAUCAGCCACACUGGGACUGAGACACGGCCCAGACUCCUACGGGAGGCAGCAGUGGGGAAUAUUGGACAAUGGGCGCAAGCCUGAUCCAGCAAUGCCGCGUGUGUGAAGAAGGCCUGCGGGUUGU